Small nucleolar RNA from Gambusia affinis (western mosquitofish), 120 nucleotides. Lineage: Eukaryota; Metazoa; Chordata; Actinopteri; Cyprinodontiformes; Poeciliidae. The record is from Ensembl.
UUGCCCACCUUGGACCCCCAGUCGUCCUUGGUGUCGAACACAGGGGGGCAGAGAGAGUCUCUCAUAAACCUGUAGUGAAGGCUCCCAUCCUCACUGCGGAUCCUGUCGGGAGAAACAACC